Molecule: non-coding RNA, 83 nt
Organism: Leucoagaricus sp. SymC.cos
Lineage: Eukaryota; Fungi; Basidiomycota; Agaricomycetes; Agaricales; Agaricaceae
Source: Rfam
GCGAACGUGUUGUAAUGGUAAACAAGUUCCUCUUAAGAAGGAGUGGGUGAAAACCCGUAAGAGUUCAAGUCUCUUUGUUCGUA